CAGUCGCCACGGGAAUACGAAGGGGGCUAGCGUUGUUCGGAAUUACUGGGCGUAAAGCGCACGUAGGCGGAUAUUUAAGUCAGGGGUGAAAUCCCAGAGCUCAACUCUGGAACUGCCUUUGAUACUGGGUAUCUUGAGUAUGGAAGAGGUGAGUGGAAUUCCGAGUGUAGAGGUGAAAUUCGUAGAUAUUCGGAGGAACACCAGUGGCGAAGGCGGCUCACUGGUCCAUUACUGACGCUGAGGUGCGAAAGCGUGGGGAGCAAACAGGAUUAGAUACCCCUGUAGUCCCUGUCUCUUCUAC
This 301-nucleotide ribosomal RNA is filed under the name uncultured bacterium. RNAcentral describes it as "partial 16S ribosomal RNA". It matches the Rfam family "Bacterial small subunit ribosomal RNA", at positions 509 to 807 of the family's 1533-position model. The record is from RNAcentral.